Molecule: ribosomal RNA, 434 nt
Filed under: uncultured bacterium
Lineage: Bacteria
Description: bacterial SSU rRNA
Rfam family: Bacterial small subunit ribosomal RNA
Source: RNAcentral
UACGGAAGGCAGCAGUGGGGAAUAUUGCACAAUGGGCGCAAGCCUGAUGCAGCGACGCCGCGUGGGGAUGACGGCCUUCGGGUUGUAAACCUCUUUCAGCACAGACGAAGCGCAAGUGACGGUAUGUGCAGAAGAAGCACCGGCCAACUACGUGCCAGCAGCCGCGGUAAUACGUAGGGUGCGAGCGUUGUCCGGAAUUACUGGGCGUAAAGAGCUUGUAGGUGGUUUUGUCGCGUUGUUCGUGAAAUCUCACGGCUUAACUGUGAGCGUGCGGGCGAUACGGGCAGACUAGAGUACUGCAGGGGAGACUGGAAUUCCUGGUGUAGCGGUGGAAUGCGCAGAUAUCAGGAGGAACACCGGUGGCGAAGGCGGGUCUCUGGGCAGUAACUGACGCUGAGAGCGAAAGCGUGGGGAGCGAACAGGAUUAGGAUACC